GACGAACUCUGGCGGCGUGCUUAACACAUGCAAGUCGAACGGAAAGGCCCUGCUUUUGUGGGGUGCUCGAGUGGCGAACGGGUGAGUAACACGUGAGUAACCUGCCCUUGACUUUGGGAUAACUUCAGGAAACUGGGGCUAAUACCGGAUAGGAGCUCCUGCUGCAUGGUGGGGGUUGGAAAGUUUCGGCGGUUGGGGAUGGACUCGCGGCUUAUCAGCUUGUUGGUGGGGUAGUGGCUUACCAAGGCUUUGACGGGUAGCCGGCCUGAGAGGGUGACCGGCCACAUUGGGACUGAGAUACGGCCCAGACUCCUACGGGAGGCAGCAGUGGGGAAUAUUGCACAAUGGGCGGAAGCCUGAUGCAGCAACGCCGCGUGCGGGAUGACGGCCUUCGGGUUGUAAACCGCUUUCGCCUGUGACGAAGCGUGAGUGACGGUAAUGGGUAAAGAAGCACCGGCUAACUACGUGCCAGCGGCCGCGGUGAUACGUAGGGUGCGAGCGUUGUCCGGAUUUAUUGGGCGUAAAGGGCUCGUAGGUGGUUGAUCGCGUCGGAAGUGUAAUCUUGGGGCUUAACCCUGAGCGUGCUUUCGAUGCGGGUUGACUUGAGGAAGGUAGGGGAGAAUGGAAUUCCUGGUGGAGCGGUGGAAUGCGCAGAUAUCAGGAGGAACACCAGUGGCGAAGGCGGUUCUCUGGGCCUUUCCUGACGCUGAGGAGCGAAAGCGUGGGGAGCGAACAGGCUUAGAUACCCUGGUAGUCCACGCUGUAAACGGUGGGUACUAGGUGUGGGGUCCAUUCCACGGGUUCCGUGCCGUAGCUAACGCUUUAAGUACCCCGCCUGGGGAGUACGGCCGCAAGGCUAAAACUCAAAGGAAUUGACGGGGCCCCGCACAAGCGGCGGAGCAUGCGGAUUAAUUCGAUGCAACGCGUAGAACCUUACCUGGGUUUGACAUGGAUCGGGAGUGCUCAGAGAUGGGUGUGCCUCUUUUGGGGUCGGUUCACAGGUGGUGCAUGGCUGUCGUCAGCUCGUGUCGUGAGAUGUUGGGUUAAGUCCCGCAACGAGCGCAACCCUUGUUCACUGUUGCCAGCACGUUAUGGUGGGGACUCAGUGGAGACCGCCGGGGUCAACUCGGAGGAAGGUGGGGAUGACGUCAAGUCAUCAUGCCCCUUAUGUCCAGGGCUUCACGCAUGCUACAAUGGCUGGUACAGAGAGUGGCGAGCCUGUGAGGGUGAGCGAAUCUCGGAAAGCCGGUCUCAGUUCGGAUUGGGGUCUGCAACUCGACCUCAUGAAGUCGGAGUCGCUAGUAAUCGCAGAUCAGCAACGCUGCGGUGAAUACGUUCCCGGGGCU
RNAcentral lists this ribosomal RNA (1346 nucleotides) under uncultured bacterium. RNAcentral's name for it is "partial 16S ribosomal RNA". It matches the Rfam family "Bacterial small subunit ribosomal RNA", at positions 28 to 1381 of the family's 1533-position model. The record is from RNAcentral.